RNAcentral lists this ribosomal RNA (475 nucleotides) under uncultured bacterium. RNAcentral's name for it is "bacterial SSU rRNA". It matches the Rfam family "Bacterial small subunit ribosomal RNA", at positions 501 to 975 of the family's 1533-position model. The record is from RNAcentral.
CUACGUGCCAGCAGCCGCGGUAAUACGUAGGGUGCGAGCGUUAAUCGGAAUUACUGGGCGUAAAGCGCACGCAGGCGGUCUGUCAAGUCGGAUGUGAAAUCCCCGGGCUCAACCUGGGAACUGCAUUCGAAACUGGCAAGCUUGAGUCUUGUAGAGGGGGGUAGAAUUCCAGGUGUAGCGGUGAAAUGCGUAGAGAUCUGGAGGAAUACCGGUGGCGAAGGCGGCCCCCUGGACAAAGACUGACGCUCAGGUGCGAAAGCGUGGGGAGCAAACAGGAUUAGAUACCCUGGUAGUCCACGCCGUAAACGAUGUCGACUUGGAGGUUGUGCCCUUGAGGCGUGGCUUCCGGAGCUAACGCGUUAAGUCGACCGCCUGGGGAGUACGGCCGCAAGGUUAAAACUCAAAUGAAUUGACGGGGGCCCGCACAAGCGGUGGAGCAUGUGGUUUAAUUCGAUGCAACGCGAAGAACCUUACC